This 274-nucleotide ribosomal RNA is filed under the name uncultured bacterium. RNAcentral's name for it is "partial 16S ribosomal RNA". It matches the Rfam family "Bacterial small subunit ribosomal RNA", at positions 523 to 796 of the family's 1533-position model. The record is from RNAcentral.
AUACAGAGGGUGCGAGCGUUAAUCGGAAUUACUGGGCGUAAAGCGCGCGUAGGCGGCUUGUUAAGUCAGAUGUGAAAUCCCCGGGCUCAACCUGGGAACUGCAUCUGAUACUGGUAAGCUAGAGUUUUGGAGAGGGAAGUAGAAUUUCAGGUGUAGCGGUGAAAUGCAUAGAGAUCUGAAGGAAUACCAGUGGCGAAGGCGACUUCCUGGCCAAAAACUGACGCUGAGGUGCGAAAGCGUGGGUAGCAAACGGGAUUAGAAACCCUAGUAGUCC